UCCUCGUUAGUAUAGUGGACAGUAUCUCUGCUUGUCACGCAGAAGACCAGGGUUCAAUUCCCUGACGGGGAG
RNAcentral lists this transfer RNA (72 nucleotides) under Gasterosteus aculeatus (three-spined stickleback). It matches the Rfam family "tRNA". From Rfam's summary of the family: Transfer RNA (tRNA) molecules are approximately 80 nucleotides in length. The record is from Rfam by way of RNAcentral. Lineage: Eukaryota; Metazoa; Chordata; Actinopteri; Perciformes; Gasterosteidae.